Molecule: ribosomal RNA, 493 nt
Filed under: uncultured bacterium
Lineage: Bacteria
Description: partial 16S ribosomal RNA
Rfam family: Bacterial small subunit ribosomal RNA
Source: RNAcentral
GACGAACGCUGGCGGCGUGCUUAACACAUGCAAGUCGAACGGAAAGGCCUGCUUUCCCUUGUGGAUUGCGGGUACUCGAGUGGCGAACGGGUGAGUAACACGUGAGUGAUCUGCCCCCAACUUGGGUAUAAGCCUGGGAAGCUGGGUCUAAUUCCCGAUAGGACUGCAGGGUGGUGCCUGUGGUGGAAAACGAUUUUCUAGUGGUUGGGGAUGAGCUCGCGGCCUAUCAGCUUGUUGGUGGGGUAAUGGCCUACCAAGGCGGCGACGGGUAGCCGGCCUGAGAGGGUGGACGGCCACAUUGGGACUGAGAUACGGCCCAGACUCCUACGGGAGGCAGCAGUGGGGAAUAUUGCACAAUGGGCGGAAGCCUGAUGCAGCGACGCCGCGUGGGGGAUGACGGCCUUCGGGUUGUAAACUCCUUUCGACCGCGAGGAAGCCACCUGGUUGGAAGGGUGGUGACGGUAGUGGUAGAAGAAGCACCGGCUAACUACGU